ACGCUGUCAUCGUUUCCCAAAGAUGGCCUACCCACUACAUUGACAUCACUUUAUAUAAACAAUUGUAGGAAAUUAGAAUUCCUACCUCAUGAGAUGUUGGCCAAAUUAACAUCGCUUGACUAUUUGUGCGUACAAAAUAGCUGUGAUUCAAUGAGGUCCUUCCCGUUGGGCAUUUUUCCCAAAUUGACGACGCUUCAAAUUCGUGGUUGUGAGAAUCUGGAAUCUUUUUCCUUGAUUGAAGAAGAAGGAGCUGUUGACAAUCUCAGCCAUCUCAAUUCCUUGCGUGUCUAUAACUGUCCAAAAAUGGUGUGUUUUCACGAGGGAGAAUUGCCCACUCCCAACCUGAGUCACUUUGUAGUCAUUGGUUGCGAGAAUUUGAAGUCAUUGCCCGAACGCCUUCACACCCUCACUGCCCUUCGAUCUUUGAAUAUAUGGAAUCUUCCGAAUCUGGAGUCAUUUGCAGAAGAUGGGGGUUUGCCUCCCAACCUCCGAUCUUUUAUCAUUAGGAAUUGUAAGAGACUGAGGGCACUUGACUCAGUGGGUUUGCAAGCACUUGUCUACCUUCAGAUCGAUGGAAGUGACCAUGUCUUGGAGACGUUGCUGCUCCCUACCACUCUUCACACUCUCUGCAUCUCUGAUCUAUCAACUCUGAAAUCUUUGGACGGAAAGGGUCUUGGACACCUCACUUCUCUUCAAACUCUAAAAAUUUACAGCUGUCCAAGUCUUCAAUGCCUGCCAGAAGAGGGUUUGCCGCCAUCUCUUUCUCAUCUGAGUAUCCGCUGUUGUCCUACCCUGGAGGAAAGGUAUAAGAAUAAAACGGGACAAGAUUGGGCAAAGAUAUCUCACAUUCCUUGCAUCGAGAUAGGGGAAGAAGUGAUCAUAUAAUAUGAGCUAUUCCAUAUUUCACGCUCAACCCUCAACUCUCAAAUCAAAGUCAGGUGAGGUAUGUGCCUUCUCUUACUUUAAAAAACUGCUUCUCUUCUUCUAAUUGAAUACAAAAACCAAAACACAUAUUCUCUUUCUCUUCCAAAAACCCAAAUACAUGUUGGACAUUGCCCAAAUUUGUCUCCAAAUUCCUAGUUUAAAUCAAAUUUAAUGCCUAUGGAUAGUUUGUUAAUAGGUUCAUGCCAUGAAUUAAUCUUUGGACUUUCCCAGGUACUGCAGGUUUGUUAUUAAUGUUGUGGCCUGAUAUUCGUCGUAUCAAUACGUUGAGGAGAGAGAUCGAUCAGCAAUUACAAAAUUGUUAGUGAAUUUAGCUUGUUUAUCAUCUCUCUCCUUUUGUUUGUUAAGUUUUGUUGUUCUAGGUUAAACCCUUGUCCCCGCAUUUCACAGCAACUCUGUGUUUUUCCACUCUGUUUAGAUUUCACUAGCAGGAGAGCCCGCGCGAUGCUGCGGGUUUUGAAAUUGUGUAGACAAAAUUAGAUUGUUUAUAUAUACAAUGAGAUUUAAUUUAUAACAUUAUGUUUAACUACAGGAGUGUAAGUUGCAAAAAAGUAUAUAAUAACAUAUUUUACAGGCUACUUGUUAUGGUAAAAUACUAUACUUGUUUGUAUAUACAUUGAGAUGUUUAUAGUAGGAAGUAGGCAUCAAAAUAGCAAAAGUUGGAUAGUUUUGUACAGAAUGUUAUUUAAUUGGGCAAGCUUUGUUUUGCACUUGCUUCAUGAUUUUUCUUCUCUUUCAUGGAAGUCUUGAUCCUGUUAUAAAAAAAAGUGAGAAAAUAGUAAAUGUUAAUAUUGAUGAAUGGGGGAAAUUGAGUUAGGACAAUAAUCAUAAACAUUUAAUUAUGUAUAAACAGGAAUAAUAUAAUUUAUUGAUUUAAUAAGAAAGUUAUAAAUAGUUUUUCAAUCUAGGAAAUACAAAGUUACAAAAUUAAGAGAACUAAUGAGCAAGUUGUAGAUGGUUUUCUAAUUGAAGUAAUACAAAGUAAACAUAUUUUAAAUUUUGUGUUUGUCUAAAAGAAAAGUUGAAGAGAGGCAAAAUAAUUAUGGUUGAAUAUAUGGAGAAAAGGAUGUCAAUAUAAUGUUUAGGUUUUUAUGUAUUAGGAAUAUAUGACUUUUUUGCUGUUAUUUAGAGCAAAAAUUAUUUAAGGGCUUGACAUUUCUGUUAAAAAACGGGUAGAAUCUACCCUGAAAAAUGGACAUUUUGCCAAAAAAUUCACCUGUAAACUAAUUAGUACUGAAUACCGAUUGGCGAAGGCAAGACAAUCAUAGUUGUGGAGUACAUAGUUAGAAAGAUGAAUGUGCAAACGUACAUCUAACCCCAUGAUAUACAUCUAACCCCAUGUGAACAUGAUUUAUUCUACAACAAUGAUUAUCAAUUUUCUAAUUGCUCAUUUUCCUAACCCUAAUCAUCACAAACCCAAAAUUAACUCUAAAAAUUUCAAAUAAGCAUGGUUCUAAACCAAUUUCUAACUUACUUAGCGAAGUCUUUUCUAUAAAUGAUAGUUGUUGAAGAAAAAGGGAAACGAAAAUAAGCUUUUAGUGUAUAAGUACAUUGAAGCAAAACAUGAAGAGAAUCCAAUAUAUAACUUCAAUAUAUAACUUUAAUUUUCUAUAAGUGUUGAUCUAAAUUUACAUCCCUUACCACUCUUCAAUUUAAAAAUAGUUUUAGCUACAACAAACAACUUCAGAGAGAAGAUUUGGCCCUGUUUUAUAAGGCAAAACCUCUCUAACCACAUGACAUACAUCUAACUCCAUGUGAACGUGAUUUAUUCUACAACAAUGAUUAUCAAUUUCCUAAUUGCUCAUUUCCCUAACCCUAAUCAUCACAAACCCAAAAUUAAUUCUAAAAAUUUCAAAUAAGCAUGGUACUAAACCAAUUUCCAACUUACUUAGUGAAGUCUUUUAUAUAAAUGAUAGUUGUUAAGGAAAAACGGAAACAAAAAUAAGCUUUUAGUGUAUAUGCACAGCACAGAAAUUGCAUGUAGCUUUCCGAUUUUUAUCCCAACUUCGUUUCUGUGGAAUCACAAAACUACAUACGCACAGCACAGGGAAGGGAAAAAAAAAAAAAGGCACAUUUAAGAGACACCUAUCUUCUCAUUCUACAUCACAUCCUCUUUUCCUAGCUUUCCAACCUUGCAACCAAAGCAAACAUCUUUCCUGAUAAAGGGUAGGAAAGAAAGUGGUUGUGUGAAUUGGGAUGAGAGAGACAGAGACAGAGACAGAGACAGAGAGACAAAGAGAGAGAGAGAAAAGAGAAAUCAAAGUAUAUAUAUAAAUAGUAAGUAUAGUUUAUAUCAUGCAAAGUUUUGAUGGUUUCGUUCAAAAAAAAAACAGGGAAAAAGUUUUGAUGGGUAAUUCUAGUAAUAAUGUUCUUAUAAUUCUAUAUAUAUAUAGAUAUCAAACUGUACUACCAUAUUCUUCCUAUAUAUACACUUGGUCGUCAACUACCUCUCUCUCUCUCUCUCUCUCUCUCUCUCUCUCUCUCUCUCUCUCUCUCUCUCUGUGACCUGCAUUUAUACAGAACCAAUUAUUCCAUCUUCACUAUACAUUUUCCUCAUCUUCCCAUUCAUAUUUUAUGGCUCUCUUGUUCUUCCUCCUAAUUCUUUUGGUCCCUGCAAGCAAUACUAAUUGGCCACCAUCACCUGGCUACUGGCCAAGUUCUAAAUUCAGGUCUAUGAGCUUUUAUAAAGGAUUUAAAACUCUCUGGGGUCCUCAGCAUCAAAGCUUAGACCAACAUGCAUUAACAAUCUGGGUUUAAUGAGGCCAGAAAAUUUUAAGAACUUAUCUACCAAGCAUACCAAACUGACAAAGCAAACCAUAUCUGUAUUUUAUCAUCAAUUUCAUCAAUUUUAUCACCAACAACAGAUAAAAAAAGGGAAUUUUUUCAAAAAAAAAAAAAAGGAAAAAACAUAAAUAAAAAAAGGGGCACAUUUAAGAGAGACCUAUCUUCUCAUUCUACAUCACAUCCUCUUUUCAUUUUGAAGCGGUCAUGUGUUGUGAGUUUCUUGUUUUAUAAAUUUUCAAAACUGUUGUUUAGAACUGCAAAAUUCUUCAUCAUAUAUCUUGCCUUCUAAUAUACAUUCUGUAUCAGGAAACUGGAAUGAGGCUUGCUCUUUGAGGAAGAGAAAUAAAAGAAAAAGUUGUGGCAAAGGUUCACGGAUGUAGUUGGAUUGUAGUGGGACAGAGAACAAAUUUAUUUGUUGCAGGGGAAAAGUCUCAUCCAAAUGCUAUGAAAUCAUGGCAACUUUAAAGUAUUGGACAGCAAUAAUGAAAGAAGAGGGCUAUGUUGGUGACACAGAUUCUUGCUUGCAUGAAUAAGAGGGAGAAAAGCCCCUAUGGUAUUGACUGUUGCCGCCAAGUGCAUAUUGUUAUUACUAUGCGUACUACAUCCCAAGGCCUCUCUCAGCAGGAUUACAAAGUAAACCAGAAUUACUAUCCCAGCAGUAUUCUGCAACUUUGCUCUGCACUUCCUUAUGUAAUCUCUCUCUCUCUCUCUCUCUCUCUCUCUCUCUAUAAAUAUAUAUAUACACACACACACACACACACACAUAUAUCUAGGCAUGCAUAUUUAUGAGUUCCCCAUUGAGGAGGGAUUCCCUUUUGAGGAUUUUAUAAUUAGAAUUAGACUGCCUUCUUAACCAAUAGUUGGGUUUGUGUGGUAAGGUAUGCUGGGUUUGUUGAUGUGGAUAUUUAUGCCUGGAGGUGCUUUGUUUUACUACUUCGUUGAAGUAGAAACAGACACUGACAAAGAAGCCCUUCAUUCUUUGUCUCAAUAGUGAUUGGUUUCUUUGAUCCUAUUCAUCAUAUCUGGUGGUGAGGUUGCCUAAUCAGCCAAAUGUUGGGUUCAACUACCUCUCUCUCUCUCUCUCUCUCUCUCUCUCUCUCUGUCUCUCUCUCUCUUUCUCUCUCUCUCUGUGACCUGCAUUUAUACAGAGCCAAUUAUUCCAUCUUCACUUUACAUUUUCCUCAUCUUCCCAUUCAUAUUUUAUGGCUUUCUUGCUCUUCCUCCUAAUUCUUUUGGUCCCUGCAAGCAAUACUAAUUGGCCACCAUCACCUGGCUACUGGCCAAGUUCUAAAUUGGCCAGAAAAUUUUAAGAACUUAUCUACCAAGCAUACCAAACUGACAAAGCAAACCAUAUCUGUAUUUUAUCAUCAAUUUUAUCGCCAACAACAGAUAAAAAAAGGGAAUUUUUUCAAAAAAAAAAAAAAAAAAGGAAAAAACAUGUUUAGUCUUUGCUUUCCAAUGUUUUAUCCAAAAACCUGAAAAUCAAAGUAACUAAAUAAAUGAACCCAAUCAUUCCUAAUUUCUAUUUUGUCAAAACCUAAUUAAGCUUCACUUCUUUUUUGCUUGUAUUUUAUCAUCAAUUUCAUCUAUUUUAUCACCAAUAGCAGAUAAAAAAAGGAAAUUUUUUCAAUUAAAAAAAAAAAAAACAUACUCAGUCUUUGCUUUCCAAUGUUUUAUCUAAAAACCUAAAAUCAAAGGAAUCAAAUAAAUAGGGUUUAGGGCUCAAGAACCUGAAAUCAAAAGAACCAAAAAAAUGAACACAACUCUACAUAGCACGAAAAAUCUCCCAGCCAACAAUCAAAUUCAUGAAAUAAAUACCAAAAGAUCUGUUAAAAAAUUGAUGAGAUGCAUACCUGAAAACAAAGGAUGCAACAAAGAUGGAAGCCUGAGUCGAAGCAAGAACGAUGGAAGCCUGAGUCGAAGCAAGAAAGAUGGAAGCCUGAGUCGAAGGUUGUAGAAAAGACGAAAUCUCCCGAUCCCAAAUCUGUGACACGAAGACUGAAAGCACGGCUGGAUUUGCAGCUCACCUCCCAAACAAAAAUCGACGGCCUUCAACGCAUCUCCAGCAACGAACACAACUCUUCCAUGGCUGCCCCCCAACCAGCUGGUUGGAAACGAACGGGAGAAAAUGGUUUCUCUCAGCGGACGAAACCAUCUCAACGAAGGGGGAGGGGCAAAAACGGGAACAAAAGAAACUGUUUAGUCAAGGGCAGUUUCGUCAUUUAACUGUGCUGCAGGAAAAAAAACGAAAACAGCAGAAAAAUGAGGGGCAUUUCCGUCAUUACACUGUGCUUAGCUACAGUGUUUAGUUGCAUUGGGUUUUAGUAUAUAUAUAAUUUAUGUUGUGAUUCGACUGCUGCUGUAUUUUAGAUUUAUAGGAACAGACCAAACAUGUUGAUUCUAUCACCAAAAUUAUAAAGUAUACUUCCAUUACAAUUAAUUUGUUGAUUCUAAUUUGGACUUGUAGGAACAGACCAAACAUGUUCAUACGUGGCAUUGCUCAAGUCAUCAUCAUUCGGGACAGAGAAUAAGCCUUCAAAUGUCUGCUGAGUCAAUGAACCUUUCUAGAUAUCUCAAGUGUAAUGGAAAUUGAUGAGUUACAAAGGAUUUGUAAACAUUUUCUACUGGAGGCUAGAAAUGCUUCAAAUAAAUGACUCUGUUGCAAUUAUUUUGUAGGAUCAAAGACUCUGCAAAGAGGUAAGAAAGUCAUCAUCAAGUAACUUCGCUCUUCAUACUUUUUAUUAGGGGUGGGCAUUGGAACCGCAAAACCGCAAAACCGAACCAACCCAAUCCGAAAAAAACCGAAAAAAACCGUGUUGACCGAAAAAGUCAAAAACCGAGACAAAUCCAAACCGAACCGGUUCAGACCGGUUCCGGUUCCGAUUUUCCACCUUAAGGAACCGGUCCAAUCCGAACCGGUCCAAUAUAAUUAAUUUUUAUAUUAUAUUUAUAUUUAUAUUUAAAAUAUCAAAUUUUGUAGGCCCAAACCCAACUAUUUCAUUAUACCAACAAAAAGCCCAAAUCUCCCAAGUCCAUUGCCCAAGUCCAACAAGCCAUAUUUUAAUAUCCUAAUCACAUCAAAUCUCACUUCACUCUCUCUCUCUGACGCACUCUCUCUUUUCCUCUCAGAUUUUUUUUACUCUCUUUUUCUUUCUUUCUUCUCUCUUCCGCCUCUUUUCCUCUAGGUUCUUUAACUUCUUUUUACUUCUUUCUUUCUUCACUCUUCUGCCUCUUUUCCUCAGUUUUUUCUUCUUCUUUCUCUCUUAUUCUUUCUCCUCUCAAUUCGUCUCCAUUUUUUUUCCCUCUCUUUCUCUGAUUUUCUGUUACUCUGAUUUUUUUCUUCUUGGUUUUAUGUUUCUCUCUCUCCCUCUAUAUCUCUUUCUUUGCAACUCUGUUUUUCAAUUUCUCCUUUUUUUUCUCUCUUCAUUUUUUGUUUCUCUGUACAUAUAUGUGUUCAUCUUGUAGAUCUGGGUGAAAUUCUUGUAGAUCUAGGUGAAGUUCUUGGAGAUCUGCGUUAAGUUCUUGUAGAUCUAGGUAAAGAGCCAAUUCAAAGCAGGUCAGCGUCUCUUAUCUCCCCAAUCCCUUGUGAAGAUAUGUAUUUUUUUUGUUGUCAACAAUCCAUUUUGGUGUUUUUAUAUGGUAUUGAUAUUUUCUAUGAUUUUGGGCUGAUUUGAGGUCUGAUUCUUUUUUUUUCUUUCAAUUUUUUCCUGUUGUGUUUUGAUAGACAUGUUCUCUAUUCCUGAUAUCAUUCCUCAGUGGCAAAAUCUUUGAGCGUUGUUGUAAAUUUUAGACGGGAAAGAAGCUCAUUCAUAAUUCAAAAAAAGAAAAUAAAGUUACAACAACUGACAAUUUGUUGCUCUUUGAAAUAGGUACUGAAGUAGCAUGGAUAAAAAGAAAGACUGAAGAUGUUGCAGAAGAUUGAAUAUGUUCUAUUUCUGUAAUUUGUUUGUAAUUAAAUUUGUUUAUUUUGUUUUGUUUUUAGGUUGUAAGUUUUAUUUUAAUGUUUGAUAUUUGUUGUUUUGUCAAAAAAUUGUAUUAAUGCUUGAUGGAUUCAUUCAAUUUGCAGUGCGUGGAUGUGAAUUGGGCCAAUCGGUAAUAAUUAGGCCCAAAAGGUUUUAAAUAUCAAUUGGGCUGAAACUUACAAAAAAAUUUAAGAACAAAAAAAAAAUCAAUUAAGCUGUGUGUCGGCCCAAACCGUAAAAACCGGAACCGAACCGGAUUCAAAUGGGUUCGGGUUGGUCCGGUUUUCUCAAGCAUUUUAGUAAAAAUCCGAACCGGACCGGACCGGUGAACAGUACCGGUUCCGGUUUUAAAUUGAUGCAAAAACCGGUCCAAACCGGACCGUGCCCACCCCUAUUUUUUAUUUUUAUUUUUAAAUAUCAGUAAUAACUGGGAAAGCUUGCAUCUCCUUAAAUUGCUCAUUCUUACAUCUUUUAUAGUUUGUUGAUCUUGGGCAAGUGGAGAGAGAGGCGUCAAGUGAUACGCAACAACCAUUUUCUGUGAGCUGAUUUGAUAAAGAGAAAUGGUAUGCUUUCUUGUCUUAAGCGGUGUGUUCUGCAAUUAUUUGAAACAAAGGAUGCCGCACUUCAAGUUCGAGAAAAUCAGGUAUUUUAGUAUUUUAUUCUUGAGAAAUUUGAUUUAUGUAGAAACUUGAACAUGUAAAUGAGAGAAAAAAAAAUAAAUAUAUAUAUAUAUUAUAUAUUGUAUAUGCUGUUAAUGAGUUAAUAUGGUGCUUGCUCCUAGUUGGAAAUUUAUGUAGUCAUCUACCUAUGAUCAAAUAAAGAUGAAAAAUAAAAUAAAAUUGAGAGCAUCUUCCUCUCCCCUGCUUUGCUCAUCCCUUGUUCUUCCACUUCAGCCCCACUAUUACACCAUUUUUUUCAGCCACAAUUAUAAUAGCUCCAUGAGCAUUAAGUCCCUUUCAAAUUCUGCUGACAUUCAAAAUUGGAAUCUGCUGGUGAUAUAUGAUAGCGUUAACAUAUUGUACCAUUUUGGCCAGUGUACGCAAUAUUAUUGCAUCCAACUUUGCAUAUUAACAUCAGUGGCCACAGUUACACGAUUUGAGUGCACAGAAAGGUUUCAAAAGUUGUCCCACAGAGAACAGUCGUUCAAAGUGAGAGAGUUUUGAAAGCUUAAUUACAAGUUCAUGUUGUUUACAACCUCAAAAAGCUUUCAUACUUGCUUACAAACCUGUAUUUCCAAGUUCUGCAAACCUUGGAAUAUCACUUCAUCCAAAUCCCCUUCCAAAGCAGGAAAAAAUGGCAGCAGCUUUGAUUGGAGAGGCUCUCAUCUCUGCUUCUAUCGAGGUGUUGUGUGACAGAGUUACUUCAGCCGAGUUCAUAGACUUAUUUCAGCAGAAGAAACUUGAUGAAACACUCCUCAUGAACCUGAAGACGACACUGUUGAUUUUGUUUGCGGCGCUCAAUGAUGCAGAGGAGAAGCAAAUUGUGAACCCUGCUGUGAUAGAGUGGCUUAACAGCUCAAGCAUGCUGUCUUUGAUGCAGAGGACUUACUUGAUGAGAUUGACACUGAAGCUUUGCGAUGCAAGCUGGAAGGUGAGGAUCAAACCCACAAUAAUUAACCAACAAGGAUCUUUUUGAUUGUUUGAAAGGAGGGUCUUUGAUGAUUUGAAAGGAGAGGGUUGCUUCAUUUCUGUUGGAUGCUUAAUUAAAUCUUAUCUGGACUUGAACAAGGAUUAGGUUAGCUGUAUAAUUCGUGGUAAACACCUUUUUCUAAGGUUCAUUUAGACUCCUAUUACGAUUAAUUUGUUGUUUCUAAUUUGGACUUGUAGGAACAGACCAAAUAUGUUCACACGUGGCAUCGUUCAAGUCAUCAUCAUUUCAGACAAAAUCAGCCUUCAAGUGUCUGCUGACUCAAUGAACCUUUCUAGAUAUAUCAAGUGCAAUGGAAAUUCAAGAGUUACAUAGAGAUUUGUAAACAUUUUGAAGAUUGCAACACCUGCAAGUGAGAUAGGUGGUGACGAAAUCAGAGCUGAUCUUGAAGCCUCUGAUGCCCCUGUCGUUGCAAGUUGCACCUGAGAACAUGGUUUUUUUUUGGGUAAAAAACCAGCAACAUGUUCGGGGCUGGCAAUUCAAUCCCUGAUGAACUUGAGAAGCAAAGCUCCAGUAAGGAAAUUGGUCGAGGUCACGACAGGGAUAAUUGAUGGUGAAAUGGAUGCUAUUUCUUAUUGCAGCCUGUUCUCAAAGUUCUUGUUGGCAAAAGCAAGAGAUGGAGUAUUUUGAUUGGGAGGAGAGAUAAUGACAUGUGUUGACAAUUCUAGAACAGCCCAUCUGAGUUCUUUUGUCAGGCUGCAUCAUUUAAUCCCAGCAAAAAUCCAGUUUUUGCUAAACAAUCAAAUUGUACACAUUUUUUCUUUUCGAGGAAUUUAACAUUACACAUUUUUUCAUUUUUUCAUCAAACAGUUUUCUAAUGCAUUUGUUGUCCCAAGUUACAAUGAGGAAUUUGGAUUGAGUUUCUUGUGUUAAUAACAUUAUACUUUCAUGGAAUGGUUUAUCUUCUUUUUCUGGACAAAAAUAUUUAGAUUAAUUUCUUGGAAUAAUUUUUUAAUAAUUUUUUAAUUGCAGUAGCGAAAAAAGGAAAAUUGUAUUUUUCAAAACCAAUCUUAAGUCCAGUUUCCUCUUCUUGGUCGUCACACUUGGAAAUUGCUAACCAUAUAUAACUUGGGGUAACAAUCUUAGUCCGAAUGUGUACGAUCUUAGUCCGAUCAAUGGCUACGCGUAUUGGCUCGGCCUUGGGGUCUACCAUUCCAGUGUACAAGCUUCCUGGGUCUUGGGGCAAUUCCUUCAAAUUGUACACAUGUUUUCUUUGAGAAGCAAGGCUCUAGUAAGGAAAUUGGUUAUGUAACAAAUUUUGGUCCCUUUGGAUGGAAUGAUUUACAAUGAGGAAUUUUAUUAUUAUUAUUUUGUUUUUGUUGUUAGUGUAAUGAAAAUGAUCUAGGUUCAUACACUGGGUAUAGCUCUAAUUUGGCCAAUUUCAUUAUUUUAGUUUCUUCAUAUUUUCAAUUAUUAUAAUUUGGUGCGUUGUUUUUUAAAAACAUUCAUGAGAAUCUCCAUUUUUUAGGUGUUUAAGUUAUUCAUCCACAACGGUUUUAUAAUACCGUCAUCUUUUCAAACACAACGAUGAUUUUUUAAUCUAUCGUCGUUGUUUUCUGAUCGUCUUUUUCACUUUUUGUAGUAGUGUCAAUAAGUAAGAUGAAAUAAUACAUUCACAAUCUGUUUAAAUUUUAAAUUAAAAAAAACACAAGAAAAUUUUAAAUAAGUAAGUAAUUUUAAAUAUAUAUUUCCAUUGUUUUGGUUUUCUUUUCAUAUUAGUUUUCUACUAGCUGCUAAUUUCAUUUAAAUUGUUUUUCUUACUUCAUUUAACUUUUAAGCAUGCAGAUGCAAUCAUGACUUCUUCUUUUUUUCAAUAGACUGAUUCUCUUCCCACAUAUAUAAUGCUCUCUAAGUAUUCGUAAUAUGAGUAGGAAUUUAUUUUCAUUUCACAAGAAUUGUCCAUCAAAUUCUGAUAGGUUUGUCGAUAGCACAAGCAUGCACAUAUAGACACUACAAGAACUUUGUUUCUUCAUUUUGUUUCCUAAAGAUUUGUUGGCUUCGUGCAGAUGAAUAACAAGUCUCUCUGUCCUCUAUUUCUUCUUUUUCUUUUUUAACAAUUCAUAUUCUACUUUCUGUUUUCACCCAGUAAAAAUUGAUUUUAGACAUGGGCUUCUAAAUUAUGUGCGGAUAAUGGUUGCAUUUAUAGAAUAUCCAUGGGCUUCUAGUCACCGUGGUUGUUGAUUCAGCAUGUCAUAUUACUCUUGGACUAGCUGUUGACACUACUACAUUUUACACUUUGCGCGACGAAGAACAAAACGUCGCGCAAAGUCGCAUUUAGUCGCCCCAAUUUCAGCGCGACAAAAACGUCGUCGCGCAUAUUCCGUCGCGCGAAGAUCGUGAAGAAAGCCUUUGCACGACGAGGUACAACCCUUCGUCGCGCAAAAGUGUGCGACGGGUAAACCAUCGUUGCACCAACGGUGUGGAGACGAAACAACCCUUCGUCGCAAAAAUAUUUGCGCGACGAUAAAUUAUGCGGCGCACGUAUAUUUGCGAGACGACGGGAAUUGCGCGACAAAACAUUAUUCGUCGCGCAAAAUAUGUAUGGGAGACGUAUAUGUUCGUCGCAGAACAAUUCGCGCGAUGAGAAAGUUUUCGUCGCACAUAUAAUUGCGCGACGAAAAAUUAUGUCGUCGGCCAAAUAUUUUGCGCGACGAAACAUUUCGUCGCGCAAAACGUGUUAUGUGUUCGUCGCGCAUGAAUUAAAAGUGAUAAAAAAAUAUUUGAUUUUUUUUUGUUACAUGUUGGUUUGCGCGACGAAAGAUUUUCCGUCGCGCAAAAAUAAUAUUACAAUUUUUUUUUUAUUUAUAUUUUUUAUUUGAUAUAAAAUUGGUUUCUUUUUAUUGAUUAAACAAUGAAAUUGCAAUAAAAAUAAAUUAGAAUAAAAUUUUGUUAUAAAAUAAAAUAAAAUAAAUGUAUUACAAAUAAAAUAAAUACACUAAUCAAAUAAUGAAUCAAAAUCAACCGAGUCGUCGCCAGUAUGCGGCUCGGAGGGCGGGGCGUUCACCGGGGCAGUGGUCUGGUGGGGAUGCCCGGGAUGGACGGGCUCAGAGGUCGGCGCAUCAAAAUGCGGGACUGGAAUGCCGGACUGUGCGAGGGACUGCAGAAUGACCGACAUCUGGCUCUGAAGAGUGGCCACCUGUGCUGUCAAAGCAGUGACCUGACUGUUUGACUGCGCCGAUGAACGAGGUCGAGGUUCCCUCCGCCGGGCAUUCCCCAUCCCUCGACAAUAUGUCCCCGGCCUCCUCCCGAGAGUCUGAUCCAACGUCUCCGUCAAUAUCUGAAAUCCAGCAUCCUGUGGAGGAGCCACAGACUCGAUCGGAGUCUCGGGAGGAAGCUGGGAGGCGGACUCCUGAAGAACAAGCUGGCUCCUCUCCACCAUCGUCGUCUGUUGAACAUAACAUAAAAUAUAAAUUAAAACAUGCAUAUAAAUUGAAUGCGUAACAUAAGAAUUAAAAUUAAAUAAUACUUACAUGAAGGGACUCGGCCAACUCAUUCCCGGGUCGAACAUAAACGUCACCAAAGACGUCGAUCUCUGGGAACUUGGACCCCUCCUAAAUUGAACAAGAGAAGAAAAAUAUUAGUAUGAAAAAAAUAAAUUAAUAAAAAUGACAUUAAAAAUGAAAUAAAAAUUUUGUGAUUAUUACCCGACGCCGUGCAUCCAUCCUAUAAGAAAAGGGUCUGGAGCCGGAAUGGUGGAGAAGGGUCUUCUUCUUCCUAUUACCCUUAUUCACUUGGGCUUUAUUCUGUUAUACAAAAAAUGAAACGUAUUAGUUAAAAUAUAAAAAAUUAAAUAAUAAUGAAAUAAAAAAAUAAAAUAAACAUUAAUAAGUAAUAAGUAAUAAUUAAACAAAUAUAAUUAAAAAAAUACCGCAAAUUCGGGCGCUUGAAAAUGAGCGCAGAGCCACUCCCAACUAUCCUCCCGCCCCUCAAGCUCCUUCGGGCAACCCUCCUGAAGAGCGACUUGCGGAUCAUCAUAGGCCUGAAAAUGGUGGUGCAAGUCGCUCUUCCACUGCUUGUACCUCUCAGCGAAGAGUCGGUUGACGUACGUCAACGACUCUUCGUCGAGAUCCUCCAAGUUAUAGUUCGUCUGCAAUCAAUUAAUUAGAUACGUUAAGUAAUAGAAAUAUACACAAUUUUAAAGAAAAAUAAUGAAAAUGUAAGGUACAUACCGACAACUGGCCGUGAAUCUCCGCCUGGAUCUCGUCAGGCAUGACCCUCCAAGACUUCCAUUGCAUCGGGCAAUGGGUCCGCACGACGUGGCCAAUGUCGUGGGCCAAGGAGCUAUGCAACUUCGCCGUCGGUGCAGCACGAUGGCGCUCGUCGUAUCCGAUGCUGAUACGACUGUUGGUCACCCGGGUGACCUUCGCCGUCUUCAGCUGACGACACGGUCCUCGGGUGUUCCUCUUCGCUGCAAAGAAAUAAGGUAUUAAUGUUAAAUAAAAAAACAUUGUCAAAUUUCAAUAUAAAAUUAACAAUACAAAAGUGUAGUUAUACCUGGCUGUGAUCCCGAGGCACCAGUACCGUCGGUCGAUGUCGUGUCGAUGGUGUCGGUGGGCCGGUGCCGCCGCCUAGCACUAGCUGGUUGCGCCACGGAUGACGCAGAUGACACAGGCGCCUGGGGCGCCCCGGGACCAACCACCACGUGGUCCAACAAAGCAGGAGCAGUGGCAGCAGAUGCCGACUGAGCCAGGGGAUCCGAACUCGGUGCAGUCGUCAUCGACCUACCACGUCUAAUCAAGUCUGACAUCUGCACAUAUAAUUUCAUUCAGAAUGUAAACUAAUUAAUUAAAAGCAUAGCCUGACCUAGGGUUUGGAAUUUCGGAGUAUCCGGGACUCCGAUCAACGAUCGGUCGAAUCCUAAACGAUCCUAGAAACACAAAGGUACAACUACGCGAGUUUCAGUUCGAUCCAACGGUCCGAACAUAUCAAACCUGGAAAUCGCACAAUAGGCGAAAUUCGAUCAAGACUCAAACGGUAACCAAAUUCAAAUCCGAGCAAACCUACGCGCUCGUGACAAACAGGGGAUCGCUCUGGGACACAAUGCCCCACUGCCACAGCAUCCCACGCGCCGGCAGCGCGUGGGUGUCCAAAGCGAUAACAUUCGCCGGAAAAUUCUAAAAACUAACGGCCAAGGUUCCUACCCUAGGUUGAAAACAAUAUUUGGCGCCACUUUUGUUCUCGGACCUACCCCGAAAAAUGGCCGGAAGUGGCCGGAUUUGAAAUUGCCAAACCGGCCAAAACCUAGGGUUUUAAUUCCUAUUUCCUAUACCCAUCAGCUAGAGCACAAAAAAUAGUCGAGAAAUCAUACCUCAGGCGUCGGAAAUGGUGGCCGGAGGAGAGAGAAAACGGCCGGCGAGGAAUCGGUGAAAAACCGACGAUGUGCGACGGCAGGCUCGACGGCGAAGGCAGGGGAGGCUAUGGCAGGAGCGGCGGUGGCUGAGGUGACGGCGGAGAGAGAGGGCUGAGGUGACGGCGGAGAGAGAGGCAAACGGAGGAAAAAACCAGAAAUGGGGAAGAAGGAGGCAUCGCGACGUUUCUGCAAAUUUUUACGACUUUGCGCGACGAAUCACAUCAUUCGUCGCGCAAAAUGCUAUUAAUGAAUCUUGCGCGACGCUAUAUCCGUCGCGCAAGAUCUGUCAGAACGCCAAAUUCUGAAAGUGGAUUAGGGUCUGUAAGUUUUGCGCGACGAAAUAGACAUACUUCGUCGCGCAAAAGGCUGUCUUUCCGCCAAAAUUUUGGGAUUUAGGGUUUAGCGGGAGGCUGAAACUGAAGGGUUUGCGCUUUUGCGCGACGAAGACGGUAAACGUCGCGCAAUGGUAACCUUGCGCGACGGAACGUAUUAUAUUCGUCGCGCAAAAGGCUAUCUUUCCGCCCAAAUUUUGGGAUUCAGGGUUUAGCGGGAGGCUGAAGGGUUUGCGCUUUUGCGCGACGAAGACACUAAACGUCGCACAAAAGGCUGUCUGCUGAAAUGAAUGGUUUCUGCUUUUGCGCGACGAAGACAAUAAACGUCGCGCAAAACGUUGUCGUUCCGCCAACAAUUUGGGGUUUAGGGUUUAGUGUGAAAACUGGCGCCCAGAUUGCGCGACGAAGAGUACAUAUUUCCUUCGCGCAAUCUAUUUCACUUUCACUUUGCGCGACGGAUAUGUUGGUUCGUCGCGCAAUCUUCAAGAUUUUCAUUGAAAUUUUCACUAAGUGUUCAAAGGGGAUGGAGGUGUGAAAACUGGCGCCCAGAUUGCGCGACGAAGAGUACAUAUUUCCGUCGCACAAUCUAAUUCACUUUCACUUUGCGCGACGGUUAAAUUGUUCGUCGCGCAAAAUGUAGACCCUAAACCCCCUUGUAAACCCUAAACCCUGAACCCUAAGCCAUAAACCCUAAACCCUAAAAUAGUUUCAAUGAUCCAACCGGCAAACUUAUUGUUUGAAACUUGGAGAUCAUAUACGCCAAAAAUCAAGAAGACCAAACAUUCAGAUAUCAGGGAACGGGACUAAAUAUUUCGACGGUUAUAAAUGAAAAGUCAUGAUUUAACGGUUAUUGUAACUCCGAUUUUGAUCAAUUUUGACAGCAGCAUUUGUUGACCCUAUAUGAAUACAAUGACUGAAUUUGAUCUUCAAUUUCAGAUUUUUACACUAGGGGAUACCACAUAAACGUGAAGUUACAUUUGCACAAAUGUAUAAACAAAUUUUAGGGUUUUUGGUGAAUAUAUGAUUUUGAUAGCACAUGCAGUCUACGAAACAAGUUUCAGUCAUCCAGCCGUCAAACUUGUUUUUUUAGACUUCGAGAUCAUAGACAGCAAAAAUCGGACAAAAAAAACAUUCAGAGAUUAAGCAACGGGGUAAAACUUUUCGACGGUUCUAAAUAAAAAGUGAUGAUUGAACGGUUAAUUUAACUCCGAUGUUGAUGAUUUUUUGCAGCUACAGUCCUACACUCCAUAUGAAUACAAUGAACUACUUCGAUCGCCAAUUUUAAAUAUAUAUGUGUGUAUAUAUUAUACUAUAACGUUACCUAAUAUAUAUUUGCGCGACGAAAGUUUGCUUAUCGUCGCGCAAAAAUGCCAUACGCGACGCAUGUAUAUAUGCGUCGCGGAAACUAUGCGCGACCAGUUGUAUUCGUUGCGCAAACAUUACGCGACGCUUAUGUAUGCGUCGCGUAUGGUAUGUUUGCGCGACGAUAUGGAGCCCUUCGUCGCGCAUGGAUUUGGCGCCAUAAAUCCUCAUUGAUUUCAAAUUGUGUAUGCUUUGUAUUUUUUAGAAAGGUUUUGUAUUCAUCAUUUUUUAUGCUUUGUAUUUUGUGGAAAGGCUUUGAAAUAUUCAUUUCUUUUGUUAUUUUUAUUGAAGCUUUAACUUGUUCUGUUCCGCAGAAAAUUCCAAUGAAGUUUGUGAUGAAAUAUGGAGAAUGAAUACACAACUACAUAUGGACAACUACACAUAUUCAAAGAUUUGUAUUACACAAAAUUAAUACACUAACAUAAUAAAUUUACAAAUAAAUUCAUUAUUCAUCAUCUGAACUAUAAUAACUUUCGUUAUCGUCGCUAGCUUUAACUUGUUCUGUUCCGCAGAAAAUUCCAAUGAAGUUUGUGAUGAAAUCUGGAGAAUGAAUACACAACUACAUAUAGACAACUACACAUAUUCAAAGAUUUGUAUUACACAAAAUUAAUACACUACAUAAUAAAUUACAAAUAAAUUCAUUAUUCAUCAUCUGAACUAUAAUAACUUUCGUAUCGUCGCUAUCAUCACUCUCGGUCUCCCAAUCUUCUUCCUCCUCCUCCUCUAUAACUGCAUCAUCGGCGUUGCUAGGGCCCACUGCAACAUCGUAUCGGGGAAGAUCACCGAGGUCAAUUGUAAUUGACUGAAUCGGUAUUUCGACUGAAGACACUCCUUCUAUUUGAAACGGUUCUUGUAUAACAUUUGUAUCUCGAAGUGUUUCCGCAUCAUUUUCCAUUGAAGAUUCUAAACGAUGGUCAGCCACAUUGUCGACGUCGUUGUCACUUGGGUCUAGUUCUGGUAUAUUAUACACGUUCCUAUGAUCCAUCUUCUGCACAACUUUCCACCCGUUCCCGGCUUUAGGGUCAUCUAGAUACACAAUUUGGGACGCCAUGUUUGCCAAAAUGUACGGGUCGUCAUCAUACCAAGUUCUGUUAAUAUUCACAGACAGUACUCCAUGGUCGAUUUUAACACUUCCCGCCCUAUUUGGGUUGGUAUCGAACCAUCGACACUUAAACAUGAUGACUUGGUAUCGAUCUUUGUAAAGCAAUUGCACGACAGUUGUCAGUUUGCCAUAGAAAUCAAUGUCUGUACUUUCGCCUCCACCUGGGACAUGAACACCGCUAUUUUGCGUACACAACUUGUCAUCUCGUGCGGCCCCUAAAAAUUUGACGCCGUUAACAUUACAACCCGAGAACAAUUCAGCGCGAAUUGGGCCGAACGCCAAGUUAUAUAACUCAUCACUGUAAGUGGGGGAAUUCGAUGAUUUCAAUUUAUUCACCUAAUAGUAUACAAAACCAUUUACAUGUUAGUCUGACAAAAUUAAAUACUAAAAUUUAUAUUUGUCAAUUACAAAACACUUAUAACUUACAGAAUCCAAAAACCAUUGUGGAAAUAAUUCACGGUGUUUCCGGGCAACCAAAUGUGAUGGAUGUUCUCGCUUCAUCAUCUGUUCAUGCUCAUCUAAGUAGGCCAUUAUCUCAUCACAAUUGUUCAGUACGAACCAAUGCGCUACCUCCAUGUCAUUUCUAGAAAACGACUCUCCUCGUCCAGGAUCUCCAAAUGGUCGUGCGCUUUGGGCAAAAACAGAAAGUUUUUCAUUUCUCAUACCUCCGUCAUUAUUGCGGUGAGGACGAUUGAAAACCGUCUCCACAUCUUUUAAAUACAUUCCACAGAAAGUAAGCGACUCAUAUUGAACCCAAGCCUCUAUAAUUGAUCCUUCGGGCUUUGCCCUGUUGCGUACACUUUUUUUCAGCUCUCCGAGAAGCCUGCCAAAAUAAAACGAUAUGAUACAAAUUAGCAAAGUGUCGAUAAUGAUGCAUACACAAAUGAUAAAGAUUAUAUACCUUUCUAUUGGAUACAUCCAGCGAUAGUUGACAGGACCAGCAAGCAAUGCCUCUUCUGGCAAGUGAACCAUCACGUGCAUCAUACUUAUAAAGAAAGCUGGAGGAAAUAUCAUCUCAAACUUGCAUAGGACUUGGACAAUGUCAUGGCGCAACUGAAACAUGUCUGUCCUUCGCAAUGUUUUUGCCGUCAGUUGGGAAAAAAAUCUGGAUAACAACAUGAUUGGCUUCACCACAUCUUCCGGCAGUAAGUGUCGAAUACCCACAGGAAGUAGGCGUUGCAUGAACACAUGGCAGUCAUGGCUCUUAAGUCCAGUAAAUUUACCCCCAUCGACAUUCACGCAACGUGCGAUAUUAGAAGCAUACCCAUCGGGAAAUUUGACAGACGAUACAAACUUUAGAAACUCCUUUUUGUCAUUCGGUUUCAUAGAAAAGAAUGCAAGAUCCCUUCUAGCUUUAUCACUGUCCCUAUUCAUCCAUAAACCCCUUCGUAUGCCCAUUCUUUCCAAAUCAAGACGAGCUUUGAUCGUGUCCUUCGUCUUCCCCUCGAUAUCUAGAAUCGUGCCCACCAAUGUGUCGAAAACAUUUUUCUCAACAUGCAUCACAUCUAGAUUGUGCCUCAAUUUCAGUUUCGACCAAUAUGGGCGCUCAAAAAACAUAGACUUGUGCGUCCAGUUCAAAUGUGUAGAAGGUCGGGUCCGACUAACUGUUUUCCCGAACGGAGCAAAAUCCAAACGGUUCAGCUGUUCCAAGAUCUCAUCACCGGACCAUUCUCUAGGUCUGAGGCGACGCUCUGUGUUCCCGUCGAACUCUUUAUCUUUUUCUCGCCACUCGUGGUCCCAUGGCAACCAUCUCCGAUGACCAAGGUAACAAACUUUUCCCGCGUGCCAACCAGAAGUUACAUCUUCCUUGCAUACAGGACAUGCCAUAUAACCCUUUGUGCUCCACCCAGAAACCAUUGCAUAUGCUGGAAAAUCAUUCACAGUCCACAUAACUGCUGCUCGCAAAGUGAACAUCCUCCCAGUUGAUUUAUCGUACGUGCGAACACCGUUUGUCCAUAAAUCCUUCAGCUCAUCAACCAGAGGCCUUAAGUACACAUCAAUUGACCUGCCAGGAUCCUCAGUUAUCAAAACAGUCAUCAUCAUGUAUUCUUUUUUCAUGCAUUUCCAAGGCGGCAAAUUAUAUGGGAAUGCGAAAAUCGGCCAAGUGCUGUGGUGUUGGUUUAGAACCCCAUACGGAUUGAAUCCGUCAGUGGCAAGUCCCAAUCUAACAUUUCGGGGAUCAGCAGCAAAUUCGGGGAACGUUCGAUCGAACUCUUUCCAUGCCUCCCCAUCUGCAGGAUGCCGCAUCACAUCAUCGUCUACCCGUUUUUCCUUAUGCCAUCUCAUGUCUGUGGCAGUAUGCGUUGACAUAUACAAUCGCUGCAACCUAGGUUUAAGGGGCAGAUAACGCAUGACUUUUUGUGGUAUCUUAGUCGUUCUAUUCUGGGAUGUCAGUUUGAACCUCGACUCAUUGCAUAUAGGGCAUGUAUCCAACGUUUCAUGCUCUUUGUAGAAUAACAUGCAAUUGUUUUUGCAAGCGUGGAUUUUUUCAUAACCCAAUCCAAGACCGUGCAACACCUUCUGUGCAUGUUUAUGGUCUUUCGGCAAACAAUUGUCCGUCGGAAGCAUUCUCUUGAAAACCCCCAAAAAGUAAUCAAAACACAAGUUCGACAUACGAUACUUUAUUUUUCCGUGCAUUAGCUCCACAAUGGCAGUGAGAACGGAAAACCUCUCGCACCCCGGGUAUAACUCUUGGUUGGCAUUUUUUAACAGUUUUUCAUACUGUUCAAACUCCGCACUGUCUAUUGGUGUAGGCACGUCAUCUUCCCCUUCCUGAUUGAUGUUGGUCGAUGCGAAUGGAAAAGCAUCCUGUAUAAUACCCAUGACUUGAUCAUUAGGAUCCACAAUAGGUUCAACAUUGUCCACUCUCGGGGCAUUUGAAGACGAAGCAUGGUCUACUUGUUCGCCGUGAAGGUUCCAAAUGCUAUAUGUUUCAAUCAUUCCAUUCCUUACUAAAUGAAAUCCAACAUUUUCAAUUGUCUCCCACAACGUGUUGUUACACCUCCUACAAGGACAACGGAUUCUAGUUGCACCCGGGUUGUGUCUACGUGCAAACUCAAUAAAAUCCUCGAUUCCAUCCAAGUAUUCGUCUGCGCAUCUAUUCGGGUUCUGUAUCCACCUUCUGCUCAUAAUUCCUGAAACCACAAUCACGACACAACAAUCACAACAACUUCAUACGAAGUUAUAAUGUCACCUUAUGCCUCCGGUAAGGGCCCUAUCCCAUUCGGGAAUGCAUAGUCCUGUCACGUAACCUACGGCUACAUGAGAUUAGAUUUCGACGUGGAUUAAUUUCAGCAGCAUCUCGACACAGUUCUUGAAGUGGGCAUAGGUAUAAAUACCUACGUACCACCCGAAGAACGUACCGAGAUGACACCGAAAUCUCCACAAUCGAAACCUAAUCCUGUAGCCGAAGAUUAUGUGACAACACUAUGCAUUACCAAACUGUCCAAAUAAUGGGACAAUUCAAGAAUUAAUUGGACCGCAGUCAUGCAUUACGCAUCCAUGCACGAAAUUCAACUAAUCUCGAACGGGAAACUACGUGUUACUAAACAUAAAAAUAAAAGUACGAAGUUAAUUUCAAUUAACUUCGUACAUCACAACACAUUGUGCUAUGUCACGCACAAUUUCACAACAUUAUACACAUAUAACUUCACAAAAAAAUUACAAACAUAACAAACAAACUUUUACAAUAACAUACCUUCUCAAUCGUUCUCCACCAAUCACAAAUAUCCCUAACGAUAACAAAAUUAAUAGCGUUACUACGAAUUUACAUUAAUACAUUUAAACUAACGACAAAAAAUACAUACCCAAUGAACGUACUGAAUUCACAGUAGAGCAACGGCAGAGAGAGUGAGAGAGAGGUAGAAUGCAGUGGGAGAGUGAGAGAGAGGCAGAAUGCAGAAACUGCAUUCUGCCUCUGCAAUGGAACUGGCUAAAAUGAAGAAGAAGGACUUUGCGCGACUAACAAUCCAAUCCGUCGCGCAAAAUGCCGUCGCGAAAACCCACUUUUCCGUCGCACAAAAAAACAUUUCCGUCGCGCAAUUACCUGCCGACAUCAGGUUUUUUGCGCGACGAAUACAAUUAUCCGUCGCACAAACAUCCGUCGCGCAAAUAACAUUAUUCGUCGCGCAAGGUUUAUAUUACGUCGCGCAAAUAACACUUAUUUCGUCGCGCAAGAAAUUACACUUUACGCGACGAAGGUAAUUCCGUCGCGCAAAAAAGUUUUUUCCACCCUGCAUUUUGCCGCCAAAAUUAAGUAACCCUCGUUUUCUUACGCGACGGUACAUAUUUCCGUCGCGCUAAGGCGUCUUUUGCGACGAAAAUGUUCGUCGCGCAAGAUUCUGGCGCCAAAAACAUAAACUGGGGAUUUUUCCCCGACCUUUGCUCGACGAAAUUAGUUUUGGUCGCGCAUAGAUUGUUUGCGCAACGAAGAUUGUUCGUCGCGCUAGUGUUCUGCUGUUUGCGCUACGGUAUUUUUUUUUCGUCGCAAUAGUGAUUUUUGCGCGACGAAAAUAUAUUCGUCGCGCAAACGUCCGUCGCGCAAAUAGUAAAUCGUAGUAGUGUGAUUUGGUUUAGACUUGGUUUAAUUAUCAUUGUUGUGGUUGGUUCACCAAAAAGAUUUGGCUUAGAAUUACCAGUUUUGUUGUUGGUUUAGUUAUGCUUGGCAUUUGAGGAUCCUAUGCUUACUUGUAUGGGUAAUACAUUUUAUUGAUCGUUUCAUAUACUAAUUAUGAACUUUUAGUUCCAUUGUGCAUUUAAGAGUACACAUAUUUCAUAUGUAAUUCGAAAGUUUGUCGCUGAAAUUUCUGAGAAUUUGAAACUAGAUAAGCACACCUUGCACAAAGUUCAUAUAUUUUCUUCCAGCAAGUCUGUCUAUUAACCCCCCUUAUCUGAAAUUAAUUGUUAAAAGUUCUGAUUCAUCUUUAAUCAUUGUCUUACCCUUGUUGAAUAACACUCCUCAUUCUAAUUUAUAUUCGAAGUUUGAGGUUUCAAUUUCAAUUGUGGGCUUUGAUUUUACAGAUUUUGUUUGUCAAUUUCAAUUUGGACAAAGCAUAUGCAAACAAAGUAAGGCAUUAUCUAUUAUUUGGAUCAUUUCCAUAUGUUUAUAUGUUUUUAAUAUCAUUUGCCUAUGUAGUUGACAUGUUAUAACAUUUUCGUAGUGUUGAAUAUAUAUAUAUAAUAAUUUUAUUUUAGUGGAUGUGAGAUCUCAGUUUGUUGCUUUAUAUAAUUAUUUCUUUGCAAUUUAAUUUUUUUUAUCAGUCAUACUAUUGUUGACGGCUAAAAACCAUCAAGAAACAACUCUUAAGUUUUUUAAAAAAUAAAUAAAUAAAUAAAGAUUUGUUGAUGCUUAAAAAGCAUCAAGAAAAGAUAGUUUCUUGACGGUUUUGUGACGUUUCAUAACCGUCAUGAAACAUUACAUUUUGACGAACGUCUUUCUGAUAGUGGCAUCCGUGACGCUUUCCGAGCCAUCAAUUAAGGGCUAUCGUGAUGCUUUUUAGUUGUCAGCAAAAGGUGUUUUUCUUGUACUGUAUUCACUCAAAAUCGUUUUUCAUUUAGGGUUGCUAGUGUGGUUGAAUGCCAUUUGUUUUGUUAAUGAAUAUUAUACAUUAUGGAUUUUUGUAGAAAUGUCGCUUGAAAUUAUACCUCAGUUUCAAUUUGUCACCUUAAAGAAAAAUUUAAGAGAAAUGUCACCUUAAUUUUUCAAAAUCCACGAUUUGUCAUCUCACUUUAACAUCAUCCAAUUUUCCAUCUAUUUUAAGGGUAUUUUAGUCUUUUCAUUUUCAAGGGAAAAAAAGAGAGGAAGAAAAAGACCUCUCUCUUACUUUCUCCCCCAACCCAACCCCACCCGCCCCCCAAAACACAUCGCAUAGGACCGCCUCCCCCUUCCCCACAUUUCUUUUUUCUUUUUGGCCUACUUUUCCACUAUGUUUAUGUUGAAGGAUCUAAAGUUUUCUUGGUCACCAUCUAUUACGUAGGCUACCGACUUGUUGGUUUGGGUGGGUUGAGGGAAUUUGUGUGUGGAGGGCAGGUGUUCAUGUUGUGUGCACCAAGACCUUAUCGUUGAUGAACUAUGUGACGGCACACACACAAACUCGUUGAGAAUAAAACAAACAUACCACCAAGAGAGUAAAACAAACACACAAGGACACAAAGAUUUAUAGAGGUUCGGCCUCCUGCCUACGUCUUUUUGGUGAUUCACUCGAGAAAUUCACUAGUAUGUAAAAAUAACUUUGGUUACAACUGAACCCCCUUAGCCCUCACAAGAACCUUAGAUCUCUUUUCUCUCACCCUUGCUCAAACCCUUUGAUGCCCUUGUAGACACUCAAGAAUUCACCCUUGAAUUCUAUCUUGUGUUACAUCUUCUCUUCUCCCUUUUGUUAACCUAACCCUAAAAGUCCUAUUUAUAAUGCAUAGGACUUAAGUUACAAGUUAACUUGGAAUAGGAAACAUAAAAUACCCCAAAAAUUGGAGAAAAUCUGUCCAAAUCUAGCCUGCAAAAUCAUCCUUCUGCCGCUCGAGCUGCCGGUGGCGCUCAUGGGAUGGGGGAAUUGGAGAUUUUCUUUUCAAUUUUAAUUGUUUAAAAGAUAUACAAUUUUUUAUUAUAAUAAUUUUUCCAUUUUUAAAAUACACUUGAAAAUAGAAAGCUUAAAAUGCCCUUAAAAAUAGAUGGAAAAUUGGAUGGUGUUAAAGUCAGAUGACAAAUCAUGGAUUUUGAAAAAUUAAGGUGACAUUUCUCUGAAAUUUUUCUUUUAAAAGUGACAAAUUGAAACUGAGGUAUAAGUUCAGGCGACAUUUCUACAAAAAUCCCUAUACAUUACAAUAUUAUAACAAUAAAAUUGGCUAAAAUUGAUAUGUUCCCUCUUUUCUUUUCUUUUUCUCUUUUCCUUUUCAUUUUAUGCUUUGUUGCUAUUGCUAUGUUUAUCCUACAAAUAUAGCAACUUCUCCACCAUUCAUUUGUUAGUGACUACGAUGCUUAGUAACUUCUUCAGCUCCCCUUAUUUCCAUGUACUAACCAGGGACACCAGGUCAGCAUCUUCGGUAAGAAUCCUAACUCAAUCAAACAAUGACAUCUGUAAAUAUUCAAAAUUGGAAUUUGCAUUGUGAUAGUUGAAAGCAUCCUUGUCCCAAAAAAAGCCAAAAAAUAAAAUAAAAUUGAGAGCAUUAAGUCCUUUUCAAAUUAUGCUAAUAUGCAAAAUUGGAAUUUUGAUGGAGUUGCUUCCUUGACUUUUCCACCUUUGUAUCCAGUCCACUUUGCACAAGGAGCCAAGUUUGAGAGAUAGUUUUCUGUAUUUACACCAUCCAGGAGAAAAUUAAAAAACUAUUUCAUGCCAAACUAACUACGGAUUCUUGCAAAGGACCCAUUAGUGUAGUGGUUUGGAGUAUUUACUCCCUCAGGCAAGGUCUUGGGUUCGAGUCCUAGCAUUCAUGUUGUGUGUGUGAGUUUAAUAUGCUAUCACCCCUUCCAAUAGGAAAGGACCUCAAAAAAAAAAAAAAAACUACAGAUUCUUUAAUUGAAAGAAACCCCAUAUUAAUCAUCCUUUGGCACAUAAAUGUUUGGUAAUUGGCAUUAAAGUAUCUAAAGGUUACGAAAUUAAAGAUUUUAAUGCAAACCUAAAAUUGGAAAAGAGGGCACCAAUUCAUGUAAAAUAUGGUGUACUUAGUAGAUCCAACAUAUUUUUUUAGCAACCAAGGACAAUCAUCAUUUUUUUUUUUAAGAACCAAGGAUAGCUUACAUUCUAGUUUGUCCAUCAUGUCAACACAUUUAUAAUUAAAACUUCUUUUUUGGUGAGGUUUCAAUUUUUGUCACUGUAACAAGACCACAAUUGCCAUUCAGUAUGCUAACAUUGUCACUAUGUUUGCCAAUUGCAUAUUAUCUAGAACAUAAAGGCUUUGGUGUUUUGUAUAUCCUCGGGGUGCCAAACCUGUCUUUAUAAAAAUGGUCCUUAUGAUACUACUUUAACAACAAAAAAAUAUAAUAAACUAGGCCUUUGUAGUCACUGAACGAAUGUUUUCUCAUAGAUAUGACUAUUUAAAUGUAAUUACGGGAUUAAAACAUUAUAAUAAAUUGGAGUGAACCAUAACAUUAUAUAUGAUCCAAUCCUUUUCAUAUAUUUUUGUUCAAGACUUUGUUUUAGAAUGCUCUUUUACUAAUUUGGUACAGGUCCCUAAAAUCUACGCCUUUAUGAGGCAACGUCUUUAUUUCUUUGGUUAUUCCAGUUUAGAAUAUAUUUGUACAAAUGAGAUGACUCCCAACAUAAAGUCACAUUCAACCAAAAAGCAUGAAGUCACACACAAAAAGAACACGGACAAUUGCUAAGUUUAUCUUGUAUCCUUAUUUUAUUGAUCCAACCCAAUUGAAAAAUAAAAAAGAUGAUAUAAUAUAUUGUUCACUGCUUACAUCCAUGAGUAAAGUCCUCCAUUUGAAAUUGCGUGAUUAUACAAAAUUGGAAUGAAAAAAGAAAAUCCUACAACUAAAUUUGAUAUAUUCCUUUUCAUUUUAUGUUGGAUGUUAAGUUUUCUUGUUUCUUGUUGAAAAGAAAAAUGAAAAGAAAUAAAUAAAUUACACAGCUAGCAACUUCUCCACCUUCCCUUCUUCCCAUGUACUGACAACAAGGGAGGCCUUCAAUCCAAAAUAAAGACAAGGGAUGCCAGGUCAGCAUCUCAGAUAAGUAUCCCAACCAAAACCAAUCAAAUAAUGACAUAUGUAUCUCUUUUUGUGUUUUGUUCUAUUUCUCUUUGAAUUAACUGCGAAGUUUCAUAAGCGUGUCCUCCUUUUGAAAUUGUGUAUUAUUCAAAAUUGGAAUUUGCUGGUCAUACUUGAUAUAAGCUAAAACAGUUUCCAACAUCUUGUACCAUUUUUUUCCAGUGUGGGUCAUAACUUGAAGAAGCCCACCGACAAUUUCUCAAAAGCUAUUACCAUCCAACUUUGAAAAAUAAAAGUUUCAAAAGUUACCCCAAACAACAGCCCUUGAAAGAGAGUUUUCCAAGGCUAAAGAUUACAAGGAUGUUAUUGGCACAUGCAUUAACGUGUGACAAGAAGUUAGUUAUAUUUAUAAAGUAAAAGAACGAAGUACAUAACAUGUAAGUUGAUGCCAAAUAUUUGAUCAACAGAGCUAAACAUAAAACCACGACAAUAUAACGUUGUUCACCAAAAAUUGUGUUUCGUUGAGGGUCAGUAGUGUAGGUUUCAAGAUACGAUUUAUUUUGUUAAAGAAUAUUCUGAUAUUCUAACAAUAAAAUUGGCUCAAUUUGAUAUGUUUCUUUUUUUUUUUGUUUUUGUUUUCCCUUUCAUUUUAUGCUUUGUUGUGCUAUUGCUAAGUUUAUCCUAGAGACCAGGGAUGCUUAGCAAGUUUCUUCACCUGCCCUUCUUCCCAUGUACUAACUAGGGAUACCAUGUCAGAAUCUUAGAUAAGAAUCCCAACCCAAUCAAACUAUGACAUCUGUAAGUAUUCAAAAUUGGAAUUUGCAUUGUGAUAGUUGAGUGGAAGAAUCGAUUAAGGCUUGAGUGGAAGACAAACUUCAGUGGAGGAAAGUAAUUAAUCUCACAAGACAUAGCCCAUCAGUUGGCUCAUUUUUCUUGAGUGUGUAGUCCUGGCCUUGAGGCGAGGCCACAUUGCUUUGGAGAUUUCUUUCUACUUGGUGAAAUUAUAAUUUAGAAGAAGCAAACUGCGUUUUGCAAUUUGUGCGAUUCAAGCAUAUCUGACACUAGUAAUUAGACCAUAAUCUUUGUCCGACCAGAAAAUAAGAAAAGUUGUCUUGUACCAUUUCUGCCAGUGUGGGUCCCACCCACCCCAUACGAGUAAUUUGAAGAAGUCCACCGACAAUUUCCCAAAAGCUUUGGCGUCCAACUUUGCCGACCCCAUCCCCAUGUGAGGCCAUAGAAAAGUUUUCAGCCACAAUCAAAGAAGGGAACAGUCCUUGAAAAGAGAGGGUUUUCCAAGGCCAAGAUUACAAGUUCAUGUUAUUUACAGUCUCAAAAAGCUUCCAUACUUGUUUACAAACCUGUAUUUUCAAGUUGUGCUAGCCUAGCUAUUUGCAAAUCUUGGAAUAUUUUACUUCAUCCAAAUCCCUUGCAGUCUGCAGAGAAGAUAAAAGACAUGGCUUUGAUUGGAGAGGCUCUUAUCUCUGCUUCCGUCCAGGUGUUGUGCGACAGAAUUACUUCACCCGAGUUCGUUGACUUAUUUUGGCACAAGAAACUCGAUGAGCCACUCCUCAGGAAGCUGAGGACGACACUGUUGGCCUUGAACUUGGUGCUCAAUGAUGCAGAGGGGAAGCAACUUGUGAACCGAGAUGUGAAAAAGUGGCUUGACGAGCUCAGACAUGCUGUCUUUGAUGCGGAGGACUUACUGGAUGAGAUUGACACUGAAGCUUUGCGAUGCAAGCUGGAAGAAGGUGAAGAUCAAACUCACAAAUUUACCAAUAAGGUGCGGAACUUGCUCUUUUCUCCUCGUAGUCAUUUUUAUCAGAGCAUGAAUGAUAAGAUAAAAGAGUUACUAGCAAGGUUAGAAAACUUUGUACAACUGAAAAGUGCUCUUGGUCUGGGAGAAGUUGCUGGGAGGAAGGUUUCGCAAAGAACUCAAACAACCUCCUUGGUUCUUGAACCUUAUGUAUAUGGUAGAGAUGAAGUCAAAGAAAAGUUAUCAAAAGUGUUGCUAUCUGAUGAAGCAGGCAAGGAUCCUGUGUCUUUCCUCACCAUUGUUGGAAUGGGUGGGGUUGGCAAGACAACCCUUGCUCGAAUGCUUUACAAUGACGAUAAGGUGAAAGGGCAUUUUAAACUUAAAGCUUGGGCUUGUGUUUCAGACUACGAUGAUUAUAUUAAAAUUACUAAAACUCUCCUUGAGGCAGUCACUUCAAAGCCUUGUAACACGGCAAAUCUGAAUUUGCUUCAAAAAGAUCUAAGAGAGCAAUUGAGGGGAAGGAAAUUUUUAUUUGUGUUGACCUAUGGAAUGAGAAUAAUGAGGAUUUGAACUACCUUAGAGCUCUUUUUAUUACUUUAGGAACAAUGGGAAGUAAAGUCAUUGUAACAACACGGAACAAAAAUGCAGCAUCUGUCAUGCAAAAUGUUCAUAUUCAAUACUUAGAACCAUUGUCGUAGGAGGACUGCUGGUUAUUACUUGCAAAACAUGCAUUUGGAAAUGAAAAGUGUAGUGCACAUUCAAACUUGGAAGACAUUGGAAAGCAAAUUGCACUCAAGUGCAAAGGGUUGCCUUUAGCUGCACAAACACUUGGGAGUUUGUUACGUUGCAAUAUGGAUUUCGAGUACUGGAAUAGAAUACUAAAUGAUAGUUUUUGGGACCAACCCUAUGAUAAAACUAACAUUCUUCCGGCUCUAGGGUUGAGUUACCAUUAUCUUCCUACUCAGUUGAAACGAUGCUUUGCUUAUUGUUCAAUUUUUCCAAAGGAUUAUGAGUUUGAAAAGGAAGAUAUAGUUCAAUUAUGGAUUGCAGAAGGUAUAAUUCCACAAGCUGAGAAUGGAAAAAGGAUGGAAGCAUUGGCUAGAAUAUACUUUGAUGAGCUGUUAUCACGAUCGUUGUUUCAAAAGUCAAGUAAAUUCAGCUUCAUUAUGCAUGAUCUCAUUAAUGACUUGGCUAUGUUCAUGUCUCAGGGGUUUUGCCUUAGGCUCGAAGAUGGGGUAUCCCGUGAAGUUAAAAGAGCUCGUCAUUUGUCAUAUGCUAGGGGAGAAUUUGAUGCUGCUCCAAGAUUUGAACCAUUAUAUGAGGCUAAAUGUUUGCGGACCUUCCUACCUACCAUUUGUUGUGGGCAAAUCUACUGGAUCAGGCAUAAGAGAACUGAGGCAGUUCCCGCAACUUCGAGGAAAACUAUCAAUUUUGAAGCUACAAAAUGUAGUUGAUGCGAGGGAUGCACUGCACGCCAAUAUGAAGCACAAGAAAGAUCUCAAGGAGUUAGAGCUUUCAUGGGGUGCGGAGGAUGCUGAUGAUUCCCAAAAGGAGAAAGAUGUACUCGACAAGCUCCAGCCUUGCGUGAAUUUGGAGAAAUUAACCAUCAAAUUCUAUGGUGGAACUAAUUUUCCGAAUUGGUUAGGAGACUCGUCUUUUUCUAACAUACAAGUCAUGCAUCUCAGUGACUGUAGUUAUUGUUGGUCGCUCCCACCAGUUGGACCGCUACCGGCACUCAAACAGCUCUGUAUAAGAAGAAUGAAGUUUGUGAAGACGAUUGGCGUUGAAUUCUAUGGCAGAAAUGGAGCUUAUCUGACUCAGCCAUUUCGAUCUCUGGAGAAGCUAGAGUUUAGGGAGAUGCCAGAGUGGGAGGAAUGGGUACCAAGUGGAAGUGCAAGUGGAGGUGAAUAUGGUCCAGACUUUCCUCGUCUCCAGGAGCUGAUUCUAUACGAGUGUCCGAAGCUAAGAGGAAGUUUGCCUUGUGAGUUGCCUUGCUUGAAGAAGCUUACGGUGUAUGGGUGUAAGGUUUUACAUGAUGGAAGGGCCAUUACCGCAACUACCAAUAGUCUUAACUAUAAAUCUCUGGAAGAAUUGAAUAUAAGUGGUGGAUGCCAAACUCUGUUAUCAUUAUUAGAGACAAAGCUCCUGUCCGGACUUGAGAUUCGAAAUGUUGUUGACAUACAGUGCUUGCCCAACUGCAGUCGUCUUCAACAUUUGACUCUUUCGAAUUGUCCAACGCUGUCAUCAUUUCCCAAAGAUGGCCUACCCACUACAUUGACAUCACUUUAUAUAAACAAUUGUAGGAAAUUAGAAUUCCUACCUCAUGAGAUGUUGGCCAAAUUAACAUCGCUUGACUAUUUGUGCAUACAAAAUAGCUGUGAUUCAAUGAGGUCCUUCCCGUUGGGCAUUUUUCCCAAAUUGACGAGGCUUGAAAUUCGUGGUUGUGAGAAUCUGGAAUCCCUUUCCUUGAUUGAAGAAGAAGGAGCUGUUGAGAAUCUCA
RNAcentral lists this long non-coding RNA (30378 nucleotides) under Prunus persica (peach). RNAcentral's name for it is "long non-coding RNA (PPER_LNC001943)". The record is from RNAcentral. Lineage: Eukaryota; Viridiplantae; Streptophyta; Magnoliopsida; Rosales; Rosaceae.